Molecule: ribosomal RNA, 1266 nt
Filed under: metagenome
Description: bacterial SSU rRNA
Rfam family: Bacterial small subunit ribosomal RNA
Source: RNAcentral
AGCUUGUUGGUAGGGUAACGGCCUACCAAGGCUACGAUGGUUAGCUGGUCUGAGAGGAUGAUCAGCCACACUGGAACUGACACACGGUCCAGACUCCUACGGGAGGCAGCAGUGAGGAAUUUUGCGCAAUGGGGGAAACCCUGACGCAGCAACGCCGCGUGAGUGAUGAAGGCUUUCGGGUCGUAAAGCUCUGUCAAGUGGGAAGAACUUGUCUGGUGCGAAUACCACCGGGCACUGACGGUACCACUGAAGGAAGCACCGGCUACUCCGUGCCAGCAGCCGCGGUAAUACGGGGGGUGCAAGCGUUAUUCGGAAUCAUUGGGCGUAAAGGGCGCGUAGGCGGCCUCUUAAGUCAGAUGUGAAAGCCCGGGGCUUAACCCCGGAAGUGCAUUUGAAACUGAGAAGCUUGAGUAUGGGAGAGGGAAGUGGAAUUCCUGGUGUAGAGGUGAAAUUCGUAGAUAUCAGGAGGAACACCGGUGGCGAAGGCGGCUUCCUGGACCAAUACUGACGCUGAGGCGCGAAGGCGUGGGUAGCAAACAGGAUUAGAUACCCUGGUAGUCCACGCAGUAAACGUUGAACACUAGGUGUAGCGGGUAUUGACCCCUGCUGUGCCGCAGUUAACGCAUUAAGUGUUCCGCCUGGGAAGUACGGCCGCAAGGUUAAAACUCAAAGGAAUUGACGGGGGCCCGCACAAGCGGUGGAGCAUGUGGUUUAAUUCGACGCAACGCGAAGAACCUUACCUGGGUUUGACAUCCCGAGAAGUCUCUUGAAAGAGAGAUGUGCCCUUCGGGGAAUUCGGAGACAGGUGCUGCAUGGCUGUCGUCAGCUCGUGUCGUGAGAUGUUGGGUUAAGUCCCGCAACGAGCGCAACCCUUAUCUUUAGUUACCAGCAUUCAGUUGGGGACUCUAAAGAUACUGCCCCGGUUAACGGGGAGGAAGGUGGGGAUGACGUCAAGUCCUCAUGGCCCUUAUACCCAGGGCUACACACGUGCUACAAUGGGCUAUACAAAGGGUCGCGAGCCCGCGAGGGUUAGCUAAUCCCAUAAAGCAGCUCUAAGUUCGGAUUGGAGUCUGCAACUCGACUCCAUGAAGCUGGAAUCGCUAGUAAUCGUGGAUCAGCACGCCACGGUGAAUACGUUCCCGGGCCUUGUACACACCGCCCGUCACACCAUGAGAGUUGGUUGUACCAGAAGUUGUUGGACCAACCCGCAAGGGGGGUAAGCACCUAAGGUAUGGCUGAUGAUUGGGGUGAAGUCGUAACAAGGUA